RNAcentral lists this ribosomal RNA (500 nucleotides) under uncultured bacterium. RNAcentral describes it as "partial 16S ribosomal RNA". It matches the Rfam family "Bacterial small subunit ribosomal RNA", at positions 30 to 523 of the family's 1533-position model. The record is from RNAcentral.
AUUGAACGCUGGCGGAAUGCUUUACACAUGCAAGUCGAACGGCAGCACGGACUUCGGUCUGGUGGCGAGUGGCGAACGGGUGAGUAAUGUAUCGGAACGUGCCCAGUCGUGGGGGGUAACGUAGUGAAGAUUACGCUAAUACCGCAUACGAUCUAUGGAUGAAAGCGGGGGAUCGCGAGACCUCGCGCGAUUGGAGCGGCCGAUAUCAGAUUAGGUAGUUGGUGGGGUAAAGGCCCACCAAGCCAACGAUCUGUAGCUGGUCUGAGAGGACGACCAGCCACACUGGAUCUGAGGCACGGUCCAGACUCCUACGGGAAGCAGCAGUGGGGAAUUUUGGACGAUGGGCGAAAGCCUGAUCUAGCCAUUCCGCGUGCAGGAUGAAGGCCCUCGGGUUGUAAACUGAUUUUGUACAGAACGAAAAGGUUUCUACUAAUACUAGGAGCUCAUGACGGUACUGUAAGAAUAAGCACCGGCUAACUACGUGCCAGCAGCCGCCGUAA